CUGCCCUGUGCUCCCAAAGCCAUCCUUGUACACCCUUGUUUGAGUGUUCAGGCAAAUAAAUCUCCAGGGACUGUCUAAUAUCCAGUAUUUCCUCCCCUUGGUGUGAGCUGCUUAAAGACAAGACUCUGACUUUUCUCCUUUAUACCCUAGCUGUUGCUACAAAGUAUCCACUGUUUGGCAUAUAGUAGAUGUUAAAAAAAAAAAAAGUGAUGGAGUUGCCUUUGUGGCUCAGAGGGUUAAGAACCUGACAUAGUGUCCGUGAGGAUGCAGGUUCAAUCCCUGGCCUUGCUCAGUGGGUUGAGGAUCCAAUGUUGCCACAAGCUGUGGCAUAGGAUACAGAUGCAGCUUGGAUCUUGUGUUGCUUUGGCUGUGGUGUAGGCCUGCAGCUGCAACUCCAAUUGGACACAUCCUGGAAACUUCCAUUUGCCACAGGUGCAACUGUAGCAAUUAAAAAAAAAUGACUGUAGGAGUUCCAGUUGUGGUGCAGGAUCGAACCUGCAACCUUAUGGUUCUUAGUCGGAUUCGUUAACCACUGAGCCAUGAUGGGAAUGCCUGAAUAUUUUUUAAAAAUGAAGAAAUUUAGAUGACCAAAGGAAUAAAUAACCUGUCCUUGUUUUCCUCUUCCUUCAUCGUCUUGGAAAACCAUACCAGUUUAUAAAUGCUAUUUCUCAGGUAGACACCGUGGGUGAGUUGCAACAAGGUGUCUGGGACAGCCAUGCCCCCUCCUGAGUUGACUCCUUCCUUCACUAAGCUGAUAUCCCUGAGGACCUACCUUGUGCUAAGUCCUGCUAGAUGCUGGGGAUACCAUGGGGAGAGUAAAAUCCAGAUGGGUCCUCUGCAGCUUCCAAUCUACACAAACGAAAGGUUAGUUACAAAGGAUCUGAGUGCUCCGUGGUGGUGUGCGAAGGGUGGGGCAGGUGCAGGCCUUUGAGGGAGUGUGUUGUCUGUGGAGAAUUUAAAAACAGUAAUAAAACUGAUGGGGAGUCAGUCUGCUUUUUAUUCCCACCAUGAGCCUGCAACUCUAAACCGAGUCACUGAUAAAAAAUACUCUUCAUAGGACUUUUGAGCACCCAAAUACCUGUGCCUGCCUCCCCAGCCCUAAAUCAGGAUCUUCAGGGGAGGCAGUGGCUCAAGCCUCUGACUGUUUCAGGAGCUCCCAGAUACUAUGGACUGAAUUAUGUUCCUCCCAAUCCAUACACUGAAGUCUUCAUCCACCACUCAGUGUCCUGGUAUUUCGAGAUGGGGCCUUUGAGUGACAAUUAAGUUUAAGGGAGGGCAUGAGAGUGAGGCCCUCUUAAUGGGAUUAGUGCCCUUUUAAGAAGGGAUGCCAGAGAACUUGCAAGAUACAGCUGCCAAGAGGAAAGGCCUCAGAAAGAAACCCACCUUGCUGGCGCCUCGACCUUGGAUUUCCCAGCCUCCAGAAUUGUGAGAAAGUAAAUGUCUAUUGAUUAGGCCCAUUGGUCUGUGGGACUUGUUAGGGCAGCCUGAGGUGAUGAAGACACCAGGUGGGUCUGAAGUUCAUACCCCUUUGGGAGCUCUUAAUCUCGACAGGGUUCUUCUACCAUGUGGGUUGGAAAGGACUUUGAACCCUGGAUGGAAACGAGUGCUCCGAGUAAUUGAUUAGUGAUGGGGUCCCAAGGAUGGCAGGGUGCGGGGGUGGAGCGAGGGGACUGGGAAGGUAUUUACCACGAGUGCCGUGCUAUUUGCCUUCCUUCUAAUUCUUGAACAUUUUAACAGCUUCUGUUCUGAGUUUCUUGAAUCCUCUUUUUCCUUCCUGGCCUUGUAGUUCUGAUAACAGUGUGAGCAAAUCCUCAGAGAACUGCACGCCCUUCCCCUUGACUCACUCAUGCUCCUUGGAUUCCAAAAACAGAUGCUCAAGAGCCAAGCGUCACUGUCUGUGUUUGCCCAUAGGGCUUUUCCUUUUGGUUUAUCUUGUUUUGUUUUGUUGUUUUUUCUCAUUUCUUCUCUUCAGAGUUCUGGAACAAGCUUGGGAGUGAUUCAUUAGUCAAAUGUUCUAACUCAAAAACAAAAUAAUCUCUGGCAUUAGAAAUAAAAGAAGACAAUUAAAAUAUAAUAUCAAAUUCCUUAUCGUUCUCAUUCAUUCAGCUGUUGCUUUUGAGUACUUCUAGGAGUCUGUCUCCAUGCUACUGAGUCUUUGGGAGACAAAGAUAAAUAGAAGAUAAAAUCUCUGCCUAGGGAAGCUUCAAGUCAAGCAAGAGAGCCAGUUUUCAUAUCAAAUAAUUAUAAGGUGUUCGGGGCUAUGAUGUGAGAUACUUGGGGAGUACAAAAGAGAGCCCAUUUCUAUAUGAAGCAGGUGUUUGAGGGUUUGCUGGAGUUCUAAUCGUGCUUCUUCCCCCUCUGGGUUCAAUAAUUCAUUAAACAAAUAAAUACCAAGUCCCUUCUAUGUGCCAAACUCUGUUCUAGGCAUUUGGAAUAUAUCAGCAGACAAAACAAGGAUUCCUGCUCUUACAGAGCUUAUAUUGUAACAGGAAGGGCACAUAGAUUGGAAGCAUCAGAUAGGAACCAGCAUAUCAGAUUUAUUGCCUGGUAAAAUGUUGUGGGAGAUUGUGGGUUGGACAUGUGGCUGGAGUCAGUUGCUCCUUCUUUCUGCCCAAGUUCCCUUCCUUCCCACCAUCGUCAGGGGAGAUAAAACCUGUCUCAUCUAGGAGUUACUUUGUGGUGCAGCAGGUUAAAGUCCUGGUAUUGUCACCGAAGCGGCUCAGGUCACUGCUGAGGCCUGGGUUUGAUCCCUAGCCCUGGAACUUCUGCAUGCUGCAAGUGUGCCCUCCCCCCCACCAAAAAACCCAAACCCCUCUGCCUCAUCUUGUCUAUCCUCAGUACCUCUCUUAAGAAGGAAAGCUAUGGGAGUUCCCUCCAUGGCACAGUAGGUUAAGACUCUGAUGGCGUCGAUCCAGGUCACUUUGGAGAUGCUGUUUGAUCCCAGCUGGGAAUUUCUAUAUGCUGUGGGUUUGGCCAUAAAAAGAAAAAAAAAAAAAAA
Molecule: long non-coding RNA, 2998 nt
Filed under: Sus scrofa (pig)
Lineage: Eukaryota; Metazoa; Chordata; Mammalia; Artiodactyla; Suidae
Description: lncRNA (ENSSSCG00040023115.1)
Source: RNAcentral